GGGGCUGUCUAGGUUUCGACAGAAAUAUUAGGCUCUAGAUUGCAAGUCGAAGGUACGCGUUAAGUACAAGCAAAAAUAAAUGCAAAAAAUAAAUUAAAAAAUGUAUUUAGUGGAGCUUUAACUCCAUCUUUCGCUUAAUAGAACUUAAGCAAAUACAGCUCUUUAUUAUCUAAUUCUGCGUAGAUUUUAAAGGGUUCGAUUUUAGCAGAAUAUAUUAUAAUCUUGACUAGGGGUUAUAAUGAAUUAAACUAGUCUACCAAAUUAAAAAGUUGUUAGUUGCCUUAUUUAAUUUGGAAAAUGUUCAACUAACUAAACUUGUAGAUAUCUUUUGUGAGAUAUUUUUGGACAGGAGUUCGAUUCUCCUCAGCUCCACCA
Molecule: transfer-messenger RNA, 375 nt
Filed under: human gut metagenome
Rfam family: transfer-messenger RNA
About the family: Bacterial tmRNA, also known as 10Sa RNA or SsrA, is named for its dual tRNA and mRNA-like properties. Its role is to liberate the mRNA from a stalled ribosome. To accomplish this part of the tmRNA is used as a reading frame that ends in a translation stop signal.
Source: RNAcentral